AUUGAACGCUGGCGGCAUGCUUUACACAUGCAAGUCGAACGGCAGCGCGGGCCUCGGCCUGGCGGCGAGUGGCGAACGGGUGAGUAAUGCAUCGGAACGUGCCCAGUAGUGGGGGAUAGCCCGGCGAAAGCCGGAUUAAUACCGCAUACGACCUGAGGGUGAAAGCGGGGGACCGAAAGGCCUCGCGCUAUUGGAGCGGCCGAUGUCGGAUUAGCUAGUUGGUGGGGUAAAGGCUUACCAAGGCGACGAUCCGUAGCUGGUCUGAGAGGACGACCAGCCACACUGGGACUGAGACACGGCCCAGACUCCUACGGGAGGCAGCAGUGGGGAAUUUUGGACAAUGGGGGCAACCCUGAUCCAGCCAUGCCGCGUGCGGGAAGAAGGCCUUCGGGUUGUAAACCGCUUUUGUUCGGGAAGAAAUCCUCUGGGCUAAUACCCCGGGGGGAUGACGGUACCGGAAGAAUAAGCACCGGCUAACUACGUGC
This 485-nucleotide ribosomal RNA is filed under the name uncultured bacterium. RNAcentral's name for it is "partial 16S ribosomal RNA". It matches the Rfam family "Bacterial small subunit ribosomal RNA", at positions 28 to 508 of the family's 1533-position model. The record is from RNAcentral.